Molecule: ribosomal RNA, 437 nt
Filed under: uncultured bacterium
Lineage: Bacteria
Description: bacterial SSU rRNA
Rfam family: Bacterial small subunit ribosomal RNA
Source: RNAcentral
GCAAAACGCGAAGAACCUUACCCAGGCUCGAAUGCCAGCGGACCGGUCCUGAAAGGGACCUUCCUUCGGGCCGCCGGCAAGGUGCUGCAUGGCUGUCGUCAGCUCGUGUCGUGAGAUGUUGGGUUAAGUCCCGUAACGAGCGCAACCCCUACGGUCAGUUACCAGCGUGUUAAGACGGGGACUCUGAUCGGACUGCCUGCGCAAGCAGUGAGGAAGGUGGGGACGACGUCAAGUCAUCAUGGCCCUUACGCCUGGGGCUGCACACGUGCUACAAUGGCCGGUACAAUGGGCUGCUACCCUGCGAAGGGAUGCCAAUCCGAGAAAGCCGGUCUCAGUUCGGAUCGGAGUCUGCAACUCGACUCCGUGAAGUCGGAAUCGCUAGUAAUCGCGCAUCAGCUACGGCGCGGUGAAUACGUUCCCGGGUCUUGUACACACCG